GAUGAACGCUGGCGGCGUGCCUAAUACAUGCAAGUCGAGCGAACGGACGAGAAGCUUGCUUCUCUGAUGUUAGCGGCGGACGGGUGAGUAACACGUGGAUAACCUACCUAUAAGACUGGGAUAACUUCGAGAAACCGGAGCUAAUACCGGAUAAUAUUUUGAACCGCAUGGUCCAAAAGUGAAAGACGGUCUUGCUGUCACUUAUAGAUGGAUCCGCGCUGCAUUAGCUAGUUGGUAAGGUAACGGCUUACCAAGGCAACGAUGCAUAGCCGACCUGAGAGGGUGAUCGGCCACACUGGAACUGAGACACGGUCCAGACUCCUACGGGAGGCAGCAGUAGGGAAUCUUCCGCAAUGGGCGAAAGCCUGACGGAGCAACGCCGCGUGAGUGAUGAAGGUCUUCGGAUCGUAAAACUCUGUUAUUAGGGAAGAACAUAUGUGUAAGUAACUGCGCACAUCUUGACGGUACCUAAUCAGAAAGCCACGGCUAACUACGUG
This 497-nucleotide ribosomal RNA is filed under the name uncultured bacterium. RNAcentral describes it as "partial 16S ribosomal RNA". It matches the Rfam family "Bacterial small subunit ribosomal RNA", at positions 28 to 507 of the family's 1533-position model. The record is from RNAcentral.